Molecule: ribosomal RNA, 260 nt
Filed under: uncultured bacterium
Lineage: Bacteria
Description: partial 16S ribosomal RNA
Rfam family: Bacterial small subunit ribosomal RNA
Source: RNAcentral
AGUCCUACGGGGGGCAGCAGUGGGGGAUAUUGCACAAUGGGGGGAACCCUGAUGCAGCGACGCCGCGUGGGUGAAGGAGCGUUUCGGCGCGUAAAGCCCUAUCGGCAGGGAAGAAGAUGACGGUACCUGACCAAGAGGCCCCGGCUAACUACGUGCCAGCAGCCGCGGUAAUACGUAGGGGGCAAGCGUUAUCCGGAUUUACUGGGCGUAAAGGGGGCGUAGACGGCAAAGCAAGCCCGGAGUGAAAGCCCGGGGCCUAA